CAAAGGAUGUUCUUUGAGAAUAGAUUGAAACAGGCAGAAGGAAUGGCAGCAGAAAACCAGUAAUCUUCCAAGUCAAUAAGAGGGAGAUUUUGUCCCUUCAGGCUCAGAGUAGUGAAGCUAUCUCCAAUAUAUGCCUGGAUCUUCAGUGAAUAAAGAAACAGCCACUUAUUUGCUGCUGAGAAGGGAAGAGAAAGGAAGAA
This is a long non-coding RNA of Crotalus tigris (Tiger rattlesnake), 200 nucleotides long. RefSeq lists it as uncharacterized. The record is from RefSeq and is a predicted model, not a curated record. The transcript has 5 exons. NCBI's taxonomy places the organism in Eukaryota, Metazoa, Chordata, Lepidosauria, Squamata, Viperidae.